Molecule: ribosomal RNA, 505 nt
Filed under: uncultured bacterium
Lineage: Bacteria
Description: partial 16S ribosomal RNA
Rfam family: Bacterial small subunit ribosomal RNA
Source: RNAcentral
GACGAACGCUGGCGGCGUGCCUAAUACAUGCAAGUAGAACGCACAGUUUAUACCGUAGCUUGCUACACCAUAAACUGUGAGUUGCGAACGGGUGAGUAACGCGUAGGUAACCUGCCUGGUAGCGGGGGAUAACUAUUGGAAACGAUAGCUAAUACCGCAUAAUAUUGAUUAUUGCAUGAUAAUUGAUUGAAAGAUGCUAUUGCAUCACUACCAGAUGGACCUGCGUUGUAUUAGCCAGUAGGUGAGGUAACGGCUCACCUAGGCGACGAUACAUAGCCGACCUGAGAGGGUGAUCGGCCACACUGGGACUGAGACACGGCCCAGACUCCUACGGGAGGCAGCAGUAGGGAAUCUUCGGCAAUGGACGAAAGUCUGACCGAGCAACGCCGCGUGAGUGAGGAAGGUUUUCGGAUCGUAAAGCUCUGUUGUAAGAGAAGAACGGGUGUGAGAGUGGAAAGUUCACACUGUGACGGUAUCUUACCAGAAAGGGACGGCUAACUACGUG